CAUAUUUUUGCAUAUGGCCAAUAUCACAUGCGAGAUUCAAAUUCUGAAUCUACUCAAGUGUGGAAGUGGGAUUUGCAACCGAUGUGACCAGAGGCUCUUCCUUUUAGCCUCUCAUUUCACAAAGUGCCUCUCUAGAACCAGGGUUAAUUGCCGGAUAUUUAAAUUUCAAUUUUAAAAUUUUCCGACUUACAAUGUAGACCUCGAUGGGAG
This is a non-coding RNA of Paramuricea clavata, 210 nucleotides long. NCBI's taxonomy places the organism in Eukaryota, Metazoa, Cnidaria, Anthozoa, Malacalcyonacea, Plexauridae. The record is from the annotation of a GenBank genome assembly.